UUCAUCAGUGACGAGUUCAGUACCACCCCAGUCUCAUCACUAUGACUGAAAGGUAUUUUCUGAGCUGUG
Molecule: small nucleolar RNA, 69 nt
Organism: Hippopotamus amphibius kiboko
Lineage: Eukaryota; Metazoa; Chordata; Mammalia; Artiodactyla; Hippopotamidae
Source: RefSeq, a predicted model, not a curated record